RNAcentral lists this transfer RNA (74 nucleotides) under archaeon. RNAcentral's name for it is "tRNA-Lys". It matches the Rfam family "tRNA". From Rfam's summary of the family: Transfer RNA (tRNA) molecules are approximately 80 nucleotides in length. Their secondary structure includes four short double-helical elements and three loops (D, anti-codon, and T loops). Further hydrogen bonds mediate the characteristic L-shaped molecular structure. tRNAs have two regions of fundamental functional importance: the anti-codon, which is responsible for specific mRNA codon recognition, and the 3' end, to which the tRNAs corresponding amino acid is attached (by aminoacyl-tRNA synthetases). tRNAs cope with the degeneracy of the genetic code in two manners: having more than one tRNA (with a specific anti-codon) for a particular amino acid; and 'wobble' base-pairing, i.e. permitting non-standard base-pairing at the 3rd anti-codon position. RNAcentral also lists the same sequence under 1 other name. The record is from RNAcentral.
GGGCCGGUAGCUCAGCUUGGUAGAGCACCUCACUUUUAAUGAGGUGGUCGCGAGUUCGAAUCUCGUCCGGCCCA